RNAcentral lists this ribosomal RNA (505 nucleotides) under uncultured bacterium. Its description in RNAcentral is "partial 16S ribosomal RNA". It matches the Rfam family "Bacterial small subunit ribosomal RNA", at positions 28 to 507 of the family's 1533-position model. The record is from RNAcentral.
GACGAACGCUGGCGGCGUGCCUAAUACAUGCAAGUAGAACGCACAGUUUAUACCGUAGCUUGCUACACCAUAGACUGUGAGUUGCGAACGGGUGAGUAACGCGUAGGUAACCUGCCUGGUAGCGGGGGAUAACUAUUGGAAACGAUAGCUAAUACCGCAUAAUAUUAAUUAUUGCAUGAUAAUUAAUUGAAAGGUGCAAUUGCACCACUACCAGAUGGACCUGCGUUGUAUUAGCUAGUAGGUGAGGUAACGGCUCACCUAGGCGACGAUACAUAGCCGACCUGAGAGGGUGAUCGGCCACACUGGGACUGAGACACGGCCCAGACUCCUACGGGAGGCAGCAGUAGGGAAUCUUCGGCAAUGGACGAAAGUCUGACCGAGCAACGCCGCGUGAGUGAAGAAGGUUUUCGGAUCGUAAAGCUCUGUUGUAAGAGAAGAACGGGUGUGAGGGUGGAAAGUUCACACUGUGACGUUAUCUUACCAGAAAGGGACGGCUAACUACGUG